AACCCAUUCUCACUCCAAAGGCGUCAAAAACCGAAGCAUGGUCAAGCGCCCCUAGCGUCACUUUUAUGACGCCAAAUGUGCCUCUCGGCGUCGACUAUCGAAGCACUACGACCUUCAUUGCUUUCAGUGGGAAACUUUUGGCGUCAGAAUUCGACACGAGGACAUGAGAUGUUUAUCGCUAUGAAAUCACGUUCAAGAAGUCUCAUUCAGCACACAUCGCGCGAUACUUGCUAUCAUUUCCACAGUUUGGCUGAAAAGACGUAAAGGCAGUCAGCCCAGUGGUGUUUCUGGAGAGGGAUUCCUUCAGAAAUGGAGAAGACAGAAAGCUGCGGAGGCAGAUAUUUGCAGCAUGUUCGAGUGAGCAUGAUGACCACGAGUGUGUGUCGAACUUUUCAUGACCUGAUGACUGUGUUUCCCAAUCCUGAUCCUGGAGAACCCCAGCACUGCACGGUUUUGGCGUCUCUCUUAUCUGCCUUGGAGUCUUCACUGAUGAGCUGAUGAGUUGAAUCAGGAUUGUUUGAGGAUAACACUGCAGUUCUCCAUCAUGCACAAGGACUCACCUCGUUAACUCUUUAUCCCCCACACACACAGAUAUGGUCCCUGGAUCAGUGAUUAGACUUUGCAGUGGUUUGAUUUUUGCAGAAGAUGUAACUUUGUUUUAUUUAUAAGCUCAUAAUGAAUACAUUACAGAACCAGUGAUGAAAACAAUAGUUAAAAAUAGUAUUUUUCGUAUUGAUAAAGCAUUUUGUUCUCUUUUUCAAGCUUCAUACAGUGAACUUUUUAGACUUUAAUUAAGAGUUUUAGUAAAGGAGAUAUUCAUACACAGUCAUCCCCUAGCUCCAGUCAUGAAGUGAAUUCAUGAUGUUAUGUCAAAGCUAGCAGGUGUUUGUUUUCCUGAACACUUUCUCUGUCUUCCAUUGUUCAGACAAUCAGUGUUUAUUUGAUGCUGUGCUGAUUGAGUUUUAUAGAUGAUAUUGCACACUUGACAUGCAUGUCUUCAUGGUGUUUUUUUGUGAGUUUGAAACAUUUACAUUGUGUUGUAUAACAUUUUGGUCAAUUUAAUUUUUUUAAUAAAAUUGAUCUUUUUCCAGUGUUCUCUGAAAGACAUACUGUAUUUACUGUUUUGUUUUUUAAUAAAAUCAUUUUCAUUUGCAUACUGAAAAUAGUUAAUGUUUACAACAUAACUGCCUUUUUAUUCUUUAUGGUGGCAAAAACGAGCUUGGUGACAGAGGAUGCAGUGUAGUAAUUUGGGCAUGUUGUCUUUAAAUGAGUUUGACAUAUCAAUAAAU
Long non-coding RNA from Carassius gibelio (silver crucian carp), 1289 nucleotides. RefSeq lists it as uncharacterized. NCBI's taxonomy places the organism in Eukaryota, Metazoa, Chordata, Actinopteri, Cypriniformes, Cyprinidae. The record is from RefSeq and is a predicted model, not a curated record. The transcript is spliced from 4 exons.